Molecule: ribosomal RNA, 846 nt
Filed under: Triticum aestivum (bread wheat)
Lineage: Eukaryota; Viridiplantae; Streptophyta; Magnoliopsida; Poales; Poaceae
Description: partial small subunit ribosomal RNA
Source: RNAcentral
AUGAGUGGCGGCGGCGGCGACCUGUUCGGUGCGCUGCCGGACGAGCUCCUGCGCCACGUGCUCUCCUUCCUGCCCUCGCGCGAUGCCGUGCAUACAUCCCUCCUCUCCCGCCGCUGGCGCCACCUCUGCAGAUCAGCCCCCGCCAUCCACGUCCGCGGCGAGGGAGACGCCUUCUGCGUCUUCGUCAACAGCCUCCUAAUGGGCCGAGACGCUGCCUCCGCGCCGCCGCUGCGGUCGUUCGAGAUCGACGCCAACCUGAAGAAACUACGCGAUUGCAACUACUGCGAGUACAAGCCCGACUACUGCAGCUGUUCGAAAAAUCCGCGUCCCUCGGACCGCUGGGAGGUCAACCCCGAGGUCGACCUGUGGGUCACGCACGCACUCUCGGUUGGCCGCGCCCGCUCCCUCACGGCUCGCUUCCGUCAGCAGCAAGACGUGCUCUGGAAGCGGCGGCGCCCCCUCCCAUUCGCCUCGCCGCACCUGACGACGAUCCACCUCGACACCGUCCGCCUCGUCGACGGCCAACUCGACUUCUCCUGCUGCCCGGCGCUACUGCGCCUCAAUCUCCAGCGUUGCGACCUCUAUGGAGACGCGUUCGUAUCGCCCUCGCUGGAGCGCCUCACCAUCGACGACUGCCGCACCGAUAUCGAUGAUGACUGGGAUGCAGGACCAGGCGAGAAAAUGCACACGAGCGUGUCCACGCCGAGACUCCGCUUUCUGAAGAUAUCUAAUAACUACGAUAAGAAACAGUUCCUUGAGAUGAUGCCUUGGUUGACAAAGGAGAGUGUCCGGUAUACAAAUGAAUGGUUAUAUGAUGGUGAUUCAGAAUCAGAUUCGGAGGGAUAG